This 255-nucleotide ribosomal RNA is filed under the name uncultured bacterium. Its description in RNAcentral is "partial 16S ribosomal RNA". It matches the Rfam family "Bacterial small subunit ribosomal RNA", at positions 57 to 305 of the family's 1533-position model. The record is from RNAcentral.
GCAAGUCGAACGGUAACAGGGAUUAGCUUGCUAAUUUGCUGACGAGUGGCGCACGGGUGCGUAACGCGUAUACAAUCUACCUUUUACAGGGGAAUAGCCUUUAGAAAUGAAGAUUAAUACCCCAUAGUAUAUAGAUUUGGCAUCGGAUUUAUAUUAAAGAUUUAUCGGUAAAAGAUGAGUAUGCGUCCUAUUAGUUAGUUGGUGUGGUAACGGCACACCAAGACAGCGAUAGGUAGGGGGUCUGAGAGGAUUAUC